GACGAGCUCUCCAAACGUUAUUCGGUAUCACUGGGCUUAAAGAGUUCGUAGGCGGCCUUGCAGGUGAGGUGUGAAAGCCCUCGGCUCAACCGGGGAACUGCGCUUCAAACCGCAAGGCUGGAGGGAGAUAGAGGUGAGCGGAACAGAUGGUGGAGCGGUGAAAUGCGUUGAUAUCAUCUGGAACACCGGUGGCGAAAGCGGCUCACUGGAUCUUUUCUGACGCUGAGGAACGAAAGCUAGGGUAGCGAACGGG
RNAcentral lists this ribosomal RNA (253 nucleotides) under uncultured bacterium. RNAcentral describes it as "partial 16S ribosomal RNA". It matches the Rfam family "Bacterial small subunit ribosomal RNA", at positions 524 to 776 of the family's 1533-position model. The record is from RNAcentral.